RNAcentral lists this ribosomal RNA (492 nucleotides) under uncultured bacterium. RNAcentral describes it as "partial 16S ribosomal RNA". It matches the Rfam family "Bacterial small subunit ribosomal RNA", at positions 29 to 507 of the family's 1533-position model. The record is from RNAcentral.
AGUGAACGCUGGCGGUAGGCCUAACACAUGCAAGUCGAACGGCAGCACAGUAAGAGCUUGCUCUUACGGGUGGCGAGUGGCGGACGGGUGAGGAAUACAUCGGCAUCUACUUUUUCGUGGGGGAUAACGUAGGGAAACUUACGCUACUACCGCAUACGACCUACGGGUGAAAGCAGGGGAUCUUCGGACCUUGCGCGAUUGAAUGAGACGAGGUCGGAUUAGCUAGUUGGCGGGGUAAAGGCCCACCAAGGCGACGAUCCGUAGCUGGUCUGAGAGGAUGAUCAGCCACACUGGAACUGAGACACGGUCCAGACUCCUACGGGAGGCAGCAGUGGGGAAUAUUGGACAAUGGGCGCAAGCCUGAUCCAGCCAUACCGCGUGGGUGAAGAAGGCCUUCGGGUUGUAAAGCCCUUUUGUUGGGAAAGAAAAGCAGCAGGUUAAUACCCCGCUGUUCUGACGGUACCCAAAGAAUAAGCACCGGCUAACUUCGUG